UACGUAGGGUGCGAGCGUUGUCCGGAUUUAUUGGGCGUAAAGGGCUCGUAGGCGGCCUGUCGCGUCGGGAGUGAAAGCCCACUGCUUAACGGUGGGUCUGCUUCCGGUACGGGCGGGCUGGAGUAUGGCAGGGGAGACUGGAAUUCCUGGUGUAGCGGUGGAAUGCGCAGAUAUCAGGAGGAACACCGGUGGCGAAGGCGGGUCCCUGGACAACUCCUGACACUGAGGCACGAAAGCUAGGGGAGCAAACAGG
This 253-nucleotide ribosomal RNA is filed under the name uncultured bacterium. RNAcentral describes it as "partial 16S ribosomal RNA". It matches the Rfam family "Bacterial small subunit ribosomal RNA", at positions 524 to 776 of the family's 1533-position model. The record is from RNAcentral.